Molecule: RNase P RNA, 473 nt
Filed under: Gammaproteobacteria bacterium RIFOXYB2_FULL_38_6
Lineage: Bacteria; Pseudomonadati; Pseudomonadota; Gammaproteobacteria
Description: RNase P RNA component class A
Rfam family: Bacterial RNase P class A
About the family: Ribonuclease P (RNase P) is a ubiquitous endoribonuclease, found in archaea, bacteria and eukarya as well as chloroplasts and mitochondria. Its best characterised activity is the generation of mature 5'-ends of tRNAs by cleaving the 5'-leader elements of precursor-tRNAs. Cellular RNase Ps are ribonucleoproteins.
Source: RNAcentral
CGAGUCAGCUAAACGGUCGCAAGUCUGUGGUUCAAUUUGAAUCAUAGAUUUGAGGAAAGUCCGGGCUCCACAGAGCAAGGUGCCAGAUAACUUCUGGGCGGUGAAAGCCGACGGAAAGUGCAACAGAAAAUACACAGCCCUUCCACUUAAAAGAGUUCUCAAGUAAAUAUAUUUUAAAAAGCCAUAUAAAAAAUUUUUGGGAUAAGGUUUUUUACACAGUUGAUGAAACAACUCUUUUAAGUGGAGGGGUAAAGGUGAAAUGGUGCGGUAAGAGCGCACCGCGUGAUGAGUAAUUAUCACGGCAUGGCAAACCCCACCUGGAGUAAGGUCAAAUAGGAAUCAAGAAAGAGGCGGCUCGUCUCUCUAGCUAAUUAGCUCUAAGAUUCGGGUAGACUGCUUGAGCUGUGCAGCAAUGCAUAGCCUAGAUAGAUGACUGUUCAUGACAGAACCCGGCUUAUCGGCUGGCUUACAUA